This 873-nucleotide ribosomal RNA is filed under the name Wolbachia pipientis. Its description in RNAcentral is "bacterial SSU rRNA". It matches the Rfam family "Bacterial small subunit ribosomal RNA", at positions 63 to 973 of the family's 1533-position model. Lineage: Bacteria; Pseudomonadati; Pseudomonadota; Alphaproteobacteria; Rickettsiales; Anaplasmataceae. The record is from RNAcentral.
UUUUCUUUUGUAGCCCUUCUAUGGUAUAUAUUAGUGGCAGACGGGUGAGUAAUGUAUAGGAAUCUACCUAGUAGUACGGAAUAAUUGUUGGAAACGACAACUAAUACCGUAUACGCCCUACGGGGGAAAAAUUUAUUGCUAUUAGAUGAGCCUAUAUUAGAUUAGCUAGUUGGUGGGGUAAUAGCCUACCAAGGUAAUGAUCUAUAGCUGAUCUGAGAGGAUGAUCAGCCACACUGGAACUGAGAUACGGUCCAGACUCCUACGGGAGGCAGCAGUGGGGAAUAUUGGACAAUGGGCGAAAGCCUGAUCCAGCCAUGCCGCAUGAGUGAAGAAGGCCUUUGGGUUGUAAAGCUCUUUUAGUGAGGAAGAUAAUGACGGUACUCACAGAAGAAGUCCUGGCUAACUCCGUGCCAGCAGCCGCGGUAAUACGGAGAGGGCUAGCGUUAUUCGGAAUUAUUGGGCGUAAAGGGCGCGUAGGCUGGUUAAUAAGUUAAAAGUGAAAUCCCGAGGCUUAACCUUGGAAUUGCUUUUAAAACUAUUAAUCUAGAGAUUGAAAGAGGAUAGGGGAAUUCCUGAUGUAGAGGUAAAAUUCGUAAAUAUUAGGAGGAACACCAGUGGCGAAGGCGUCUAUCUGGUUCAAAUCUGACGCUGAAGCGCGAAGGCGUGGGGAGCAAACAGGAUUAGAUACCCUGGUAGUCCACGCUGUAAACGAUGAAUGUUAAAUAUGGGGAGUUUACUUUCUGUAUUACAGCUAACGCGUUAAACAUUCCGCCUGGGGACUACGGUCGCAAGAUUAAAACUCAAAGGAAUUGACGGGGACCCGCACAAGCGGUGGAGCAUGUGGUUUAAUUCGAUGCAACGCGUAAAACCUUA